Molecule: small nucleolar RNA, 88 nt
Organism: Cryptomeria japonica (Japanese cedar)
Lineage: Eukaryota; Viridiplantae; Streptophyta; Pinopsida; Cupressales; Cupressaceae
Product: small nucleolar RNA Z103
Exons: 1
Source: RefSeq, a predicted model, not a curated record
AUGGAAAUGAGGAUUCUUUCCCCGAAUGAUCGACAAUGAUUCAACUGUGCGUUUUCUCUUUGGAGAUAAGCCAGAUAGCCUGAUCCAU